UGCUUUUUCCUAAGCGAUUUAACUUGCCUCCCACUCCCUGUUCUCUCCCCACUGCAUUUGGCUCCUGCGGCCUUUUCACCUUUAGCGGCUUGCAGGGUCCCGCGUCACCUCUUCUCCCGCGGCCUCAGUGGCUCAGGGCCUGGCCCAAGUGACUCCGAAGCGGAACCAGGUUAUGGAAAGAGCGGCCCCGGGCGGCGGCGGCGGGUAGGGAAGGGAGGUGACAGCGAAGCGAGGCCUUGCAGUUUCGGCCUAAAGGAGAGCGCAGGGGAGGCCCGGGUCUCGGGUGACACCCACGCCCAGAGUGCGACUGUGGCUGCGAGGACGGGACAAGAAAACGCUCCACUGUUCUGCACUGUGCGGGCUGACUGCCCCUGUAACCCCGAGGGAUUUGAAAUUAGCACGAAUCGGAAUUCCCUGUGGGAUCCUGUCAAAAAUGUAGAUUUCUGGGCUUCACUCUGGGACUCUCUAGAUCAAUCGAUCUGGGGCGCGGCGUAGGAAUCUGCAUUUCUGUGUGGAUCACGGCUGAAAUAGCACAAGACUGGAAGUCAGAAGACCAGUUCAGGGGCAGUUGGAGACAUCUAGCUCUACCUCAACACCUAGGAUCCCAGGAAGGUACUGACAAAGUGGAAGCUGCCUCAAAGGGCAGAGACACUUUCAUCUUAUUGCCACCUGUGGCCAGUACGGAUUCCAAACGACCAGGGGCCAGAGUGGUUUCAUCCCAAUUUUCUCUUGGCCUGGGGGCCUUCUACAUCCAUCAGCAUGUUCUUUAUAUUUUAUAUCCUCAUUUACCUUCAAUAUGUAUUUUUUCAGUAGUGGUUUGUGCAAGGAACCAUGCAGGAAGGAAAUACACAGAUGAGUGAGGUAGAGUACAUUUUCUUAAAAACUCAGCCCAGUGAAAGACGGAGCCAUGGACUGGUGAUUUCAUUUAUCGGUGUUGCGAGUUUGCUCACACAGAGGAAUCCAAGACUAACAUUGAUAUUACAGUUCUUUAUUAGUUAACAGCUCUUUUUGGUGUUACAGCACUUUAUUGCUUGCAAGCAAAGAGAGCACAAGCAUCAGGCUAGUGUCUCCCUGAAUGACGGAAAGGGGCAGCCUUAUAUAGCCAAAACUUCCUGCCCAAGUUCUCAUUUAGGUCCUCUUAUGCAAAUGAGGGAUGCAAGUCUGUUAAUUUGGAUUGGUUGGCUAUGAGACAUAGUUCAUUGGUCAGUUCUGGAGCCAAAUUUGCAUUCGGCUCUUAGGGUGGUGCAAAACCGCUGUUACCUUUUGUUAGCACAUGGGUGCAGGAAGCAAGCUAGGUUACAGAAGCUAAAGUUAGUGAUUAAGACAGCCAAGCAUAAAAUUUCUAAAACAGUUUCUCCAGCGGAAGGGGGCAGGUUUAACAAUCAGAAAAUGCUCAGGGUUCCCUGCUUCAUUAGGAUGAGUUUUGGCUACGAGUCACAGGAAACCCAAAAAAUAGUGAAAUAGGCAAGAUAGAGGUUUGUUUCUCUCUCAUGUAAAAGUCCAGGGAAUGGCAGCUAUUUGAUCAUGAGACACCCAGGUUCCUCCUCCUUUCAUCCUCGAAAUGUACCUUUACGUUCUGUUCCAAGGUGGUUGCUCCUGCCCCUGCCAUCACAUCAUUGUACUAGCUAGUGGGGAGGAGAUACGGGGGCAAAGAAGGGCCCCACUCCAAUAUCACCUUAUUUGAAGGACACUUCCCAAAAGUUGCACAUGCCACUUCCACUCACAUCCCAUGGGAAGGUGGGAAUUAUAGCUUUUUUUUCCGGGUGGCCACAUUCUCAGCUAAAAAUCAAGUGGCCUGUAACUGUAGAAGAAAGUGGGAAAGUCCAGAAGUUUCUGCCACUGAUGCUGAAAUAGGUACACAGAUAAGAUAUCUGUGCAAGAUUAGAAUAAAAGCAUGACAAAGAGAA
Molecule: long non-coding RNA, 1907 nt
Organism: Galeopterus variegatus (Sunda flying lemur)
Lineage: Eukaryota; Metazoa; Chordata; Mammalia; Dermoptera; Cynocephalidae
Exons: 3
Source: RefSeq, a predicted model, not a curated record